RNAcentral lists this ribosomal RNA (460 nucleotides) under uncultured bacterium. RNAcentral's name for it is "partial 16S ribosomal RNA". It matches the Rfam family "Bacterial small subunit ribosomal RNA", at positions 338 to 795 of the family's 1533-position model. The record is from RNAcentral.
CCUACGGGUGGCAGCAGUGAGGAAUAUUGGUCAAUGGGCGAGAGCCUGAACCAGCCAAGUCGCGUGAAGGAUGACGGCCCUACGGGUUGUAAACUUCUUUUGUCAGGGAGCAAUUGAGUCCACGUGUGGUCUUAGCGAGAGUACCUGAAGAAAAAGCAUCGGCUAACUCCGUGCCAGCAGCCGCGGUAAUACGGAGGAUGCGAGCGUUAUCCGGAGUUAUGUGGUUUAAAGGUUGCGUAGGCGGAAUAUAAAGUCAGCGGUAAAAAUUCGGGGCUCAACCCCGUCGUGCCGUUGAAACUGAUGUUCUUGAGUGGGCGAGAAGUAUGCGGAAUGCGUGGUGUAGCGGGGAAAUGCAUAGAUAUCACGCAGAACUCCGAUUGCGAAGGCAGCAUACCGGCGCCCAACUGACGCUGAAGCACGAAAGCGUGGGUAUCGAACAGGAUUAGAUACCCUUGUAGUC